Molecule: ribosomal RNA, 1109 nt
Filed under: Clostridioides difficile
Lineage: Bacteria; Bacillati; Bacillota; Clostridia; Peptostreptococcales; Peptostreptococcaceae
Description: bacterial LSU rRNA
Rfam family: Bacterial large subunit ribosomal RNA
Source: RNAcentral
GGAGGUCCGAACCCACGAGCGUUGAAAAGCUCGGGGAUGACUUGUGGGUAGCGGUGAAAUUCCAAUCGAGCCCGGAGAUAGCUGGUUCUCCCCGAAAUAGCUUUAGGGCUAGCCUCAAGGUGAGAGAUACGGAGGUAGAGCACUGAAUGUCCUAGGGGGUAUUGCACCUACCGAAGACUAUCAAACUCCGAAUGCCGUCAUCUUAUACUUGGGAGUCAGACUGUGGGUGAUAAGAUUCAUAGUCGAAAGGGCAACAGCCCAGAUCGUCAGCUAAGGUCCCUAAAUGUAAGUUAAGUGGUAAAGGAUGUGGGAUUGCACAGACAACCAGGAUGUUGGCUUAGAAGCAGCCACUCAUUCAAAGAGUGCGUAAUAGCUCACUGGUCGAGUGAUCCUGCGCCGAAGAUUUCCGGGGCUAAAACUUACUACCGAAGCUACGGCAUCAGUAAUGAUGGGUAGGGGAGCUUCCCAUACGGGUUGAAGCAUGACCGUAAGGACAUGUGGACAGUAUGGGAGUGAGAAUGUUGGCAUGAGUAGCGAGAUGUGGGUGAGAAUCCCACAGGCCGUAAACCCAAGGUUUCCAGGGGAAGGUUCGUCCGCCCUGGGUUAGUCGGGACCUAAGCUGAGGCCGAAAGGCGUAGGUGAUGGACAACAGGUUGAUAUUCCUGUACUACCGAUAACCGUUUGAGAGAUGGGAUGACACAGUAGGAUAAGCUAAGCACACUGUUGGUUAUGUGUGCCCAAGCAUUGAGGCAGUCAAAGUAGGCAAAUCCGCUUUGAUAAUGCUGGGAUGGGAUGGGGAGCGAAAUUUAGUAGCGAAGUAGCUGAUUUCACACUGUCAAGAAAAGUCUCUAUCGAGGUUAAAGGUACCCGUACCGCAAACCGACACAGGUGGGUGAGGAGAGUAUCCUAAGGCCAGCGAGAGAACUGUUGUUAAGGAACUCGGCAAAAUGACCCCGUAACUUAGGGAUAAGGGGUGCCACCAUCCGGUGGCCGCAGAGAAUAGGCCCAAGCGACUGUUUACCAAAAACAUAGGUUUCUGCUAAGUCGCAAGACGAUGUAUAGGAGCUGACGCCUGCCCGGUGCUGGAAGGUUAAGGGGAUCUGUUAGAG